Molecule: ribosomal RNA, 301 nt
Filed under: uncultured bacterium
Lineage: Bacteria
Description: partial 16S ribosomal RNA
Rfam family: Bacterial small subunit ribosomal RNA
Source: RNAcentral
CAGUCGCCACGGUAAUACGAAGGGUGCAAGCGUUACUCGGAAUUACUGGGCGUAAAGCGUGCGUAGGUGGUGGUUUAAGUCCGUUGUGAAAGCCCUGGGCUCAACCUGGGAAUUGCAGUGGAUACUGGGUCACUAGAGUGUGGUAGAGGAUAGUGGAAUUUCCGGUGUAGCAGUGAAAUGCGUAGAGAUCGGAAGGAACAUCUGUGGCGAAGGCGACUAUCUGGGCCAACACUGACACUGAGGCACGAAAGCGUGGGGAGCAAACAGGAUUAGAUACCCCCGUAGUCCCUGUCUCUUAUAA